Molecule: ribosomal RNA, 326 nt
Filed under: uncultured eukaryote
Lineage: Eukaryota
Description: partial 18S ribosomal RNA
Rfam family: Eukaryotic small subunit ribosomal RNA
Source: RNAcentral
CCCUUAGAUGUUCUGGGCUGCACGCGCGCUACACUGAUGCACUCAACGAGUUUACGACCUUGCCCGAUAGGGUUGGGUAAUCUUUUUAAAAUGCAUCGUGAUGGGGAUAGAUUAUUGCAAUUAUUAAUCUUCAACGAGGAAUUCCUAGUAAGCGCGAGUCAUCAGCUCGUGCUGAUUACGUCCCUGCCCUUUGUACACACCGCCCGUCGCUCCUACCGAUUGAGUGCUCAGGUGAAUAAUUCGGACUGCAGCAAUGUUUGGAUCCCGAACGUUGCAGCGGAAAGUUGAGUGAACCUUAUCACUUAGAGGAAGGAGAAGUCGUAACA